AUUAAGCACAGACCUUCAUACUUAUUAACAACAUUUUCUAGAAAUUUAUUCAGAGAUUUUACAUCAGUGAUUGUUUUUUCAUGACAUUUCAUGGACAAUUUGAGAGCAGAAUUCAUAGCCUUACAGCAUACAUACAGUAUACAUACGGAGUGUGGUUAUAUUUGUUUAAAUUUGCUUAAUUGCACAUGCAAUAUAAUAUCAUCGACGCCUAAGUCACAGUUCGCCGAUUCAGUCAGCGCUCAGCCCCUGGAUUUAUCUAUAUCGUUUAUAGAAGAAAGUCCGCUGGACUGUUCAAUGCAAAAUGUUACACUGAUUGCACUACGUUUAAUGUACCCUGAUGUCAUAUCUAGCUAAUUUCAAAAACUGACUUGUACUUCGAUUUUUG
Sabethes cyaneus is the source of this 385-nucleotide long non-coding RNA. RefSeq lists it as uncharacterized. Lineage: Eukaryota; Metazoa; Arthropoda; Insecta; Diptera; Culicidae. The record is from RefSeq and is a predicted model, not a curated record. The transcript has 3 exons.